RNAcentral lists this ribosomal RNA (838 nucleotides) under uncultured bacterium. Its description in RNAcentral is "bacterial SSU rRNA". It matches the Rfam family "Bacterial small subunit ribosomal RNA", at positions 615 to 1451 of the family's 1533-position model. The record is from RNAcentral.
CAANGUAUGCUUUGGAAACUGUUAGACUUGAGUGCAGAAGGGGAGAGUGGAAUUCCAUGUGUAGCGGUGAAAUGCGUAGAUAUAUGGAGGAACACCGGUGGCGAAAGCGGCUNUCUGGUCUGUCACUGACGCUGAGGCUCGAAAGCGUGGGUAGCGAACAGGAUUAGAUACCCUGGUAGUCCACGCCGUAAACGCUGAGUGCUAGGUGUUAGGUCCUUUCCGGGACUUAGUGCCGACGCUAACGCAUUAAGCACUCCGCCUGGGGAGUACGACCGCAAGGUUGAAACUCAAAGGAAUUGACGGGGGCCCGCACAAGCGGUGGAGCAUGUGGUUUAAUUCGAAGCAACGCGAAGAACCUUACCAGGUCUUGACAUCCCGAUGCCCGCUCUAGAGAUAGAGUUUUUCUUCGGAACAUCGGAGACAGGUGGUGCAUGGUUGUCGUCAGCUCGUGUCGUGAGAUGUUGGGUUAAGUCCCGCAACGAGCGCAACCCUUAUUGUUAGUUGCCAUCAUUAAGUUGGGCACUCUAGCGAGACUGCCGGUAAUAAACCGGAGGAAGGUGGGGAUGACGUCAAAUCAUCAUGCCCCUUAUGACCUGGGCUACACACGUGCUACAAUGGUUGGUACAACGAGUCGCAAGCCGGUGACGGCAAGCUAAUCUCUGAAAGCCAAUCUCAGUUCGGAUUGUAGGCUGCAACUCGCCUACAUGAAGUCGGAAUCGCUAGUAAUCGCGGAUCAGCACGCCGCGGUGAAUACGUUCCCGGGCCUUGUACACACCGCCCGUCACACCACGAGAGUUUGUAACACCCAAAGUCGGUGAGGUAACCAUUUAUGGGNCCA